UGCCUCUAGAGAUUGUCCCUCCAUGCCAGGUUAGAGGCACAUUGGCUGCAGCAGCAUGUGAAAUCUGCCAAAUGCAGUAGUUGUUUUCCUCUUGAGCAUGACUUCAUCUUUCAAAGCUGUCAGUUGAGCACUGUUUCAUGGGGAAGGGAAGGUAACAGGAUGAGAAGAACAGCAGGAAGCUUUCUUGCCUCUUGUAGAAGAGUCAAUGAACUUUCGGAGAUAUAAACAGAAACGGAACCAUUUUAAUAUUCAUCUCUUGAGGCAUUGAAGGGGACAGAGGUCUUCAAAUUAUACAACAUUGGAUCCUUCAGACAAGAGGACUGAAGUAUCUGGGAACUGACUUUAGAAAGAGCUAAGACAACCUCCAAAUGACAUCAGAAUAGAGAGCCUCAUCCUUCUCUCACCUACUUCUACAUACUGUAACCUCCCUGACUCCAUCAGAGUCACUCCUGAUUUGUACCAGUAAAAGUCUGAGGAGAAUCAAGCCAAGCAAGUUUUUGUUUGUCUUUUAAUUUUUGGAAGAGGUGCCCUUCUGUUUCUAAUUCAUGUGUGUGGGGGAGUGUGCUGCUAACAAAUGUCCCUCUGAAAUAUUUCAGUGGAAAGAAAAAAAGACCUAGACUGAAGUAAAACCUUAAUGUGAGGACUAGAGCCGUCACCAGGUACAAGCUGACUAAACAAUUGCUUAGGGCCCCAAUCAGCUCAAGCGGGGCCCCCUUAGUAUGUGUUGUGUGUGGGGGGAGGGGAGGUGGAAUAUUCAUGUUGAAGGCCCCCAAUAGCUUAGCACCACCUCCAGUGAGGACUCCAUUUUUUGUUGUUAUUUUAACAAUUUUUACUAUAAUCUGAGACUGCAUAACAUGCUUAACUCUGAUGUAGUUUGUAUUCAAUAUACAUUAAGAAACGGUAUAUAUAAUGGUAUAGUUGGCUGGUGUCUUUCAGAAGACUGUUUAAAUGGAAAGAAAAUACAAGGCUUUGCUAAUAAUAAAUAAGAUGUACAAGUAAUCUUCCCCAUCUGUUGUAUUUAAAAUGAGGGUAUACGGUAACUGCAUAGUUUUCAAAUGACAAAACAGAAGUCCUGCACUCUAGUUGGUAUUAAAAAAUGCCAUGGCAAUCUUCAUGAGUAUGGAUGUUAAUGCAGUGAUUUGGUUGAAUUCUAAUAUGAGGUAUACUUAAUCUUGCCUCAGUGUAGAGAAAUAGACUAGAUGUCCUCUGAAGUCUCUUCUACUCCUACAUUUCUAUAAUUCUGUGCUCUCUCAGUAUGGUGUUUCCUGGGUCCUUUACAUGUCUAUUCCCAGACAUUGUAAUAUUUGAGGGGUUUUAAAGAUGUAGAUUUUUUAGUAAAGAAAAUAUACUGGUAAUAAUGUUUUUGGGAAUUACCUAGACUCCAAUGAAACACACUUUGGACAUUAGCUCUCCUUAAGAAAGUUUUCAGUUUGGAUGUUGUCAUGGUUACAUGGUGAGCUGUGUCUUAGACCCCUUUACAGUUCCUCUUCACUGCACUCAGGUGACAGGUUUCACUACCAUCACCCUUCCCUGGUGGAACCACAUGUUCCUUACCACUCUGAGACUGGUCUUUGGGCAAGAGACCCUUGUUUACCAAUUGUGAUAAGUCAACAGGCCCAGUUGUAUUUGGCAUCCGCAAGAAACUUUCUUCUGCGUGCCUCUGACCAGUAGCUGAUUAAAGUGAUUCAAAACAACUUCAAAACAACUAUAUAGACCCAAAUCUACAUAGCACUAAAAGAAAAGGAUUAGAACAAAAAAAAAGUCUAAGAGCCAGGGUCUUACCAAAAGCUUAUCAUUUCUCUCAAACCUUGGGUAAGACUAACUACUCCAGACCCUUCCUGCAGAGCCUGUGUCUCAGUCUGUUCUGUUCUCUGCAAACAACCCCCUAUGACUGAACCCCUCAAGCCUUCUAGAAAGUGAUUUGUAACUCUUCAGCUACAGGCCUUCAGGUUGGCAAACAAGCUCUGUAACUUUUGGCUAAUGCCUAGAAAUAGCCUCUUCCCAAUUAUUGACUGAGCCAUUGUUCUCUUAACACACUUGAUGUCUUACCCAAAGAUGUCUUAUCUCUGGUCAUUGUUUCAUUUCCCACCUGUUCUUCCCCCUCUUGAUUUAAUGUCAUGUAGACUGACCCAAUAAUAUCAAGCUGGUAAACUGAGGUACACCUAAUAUUUAUAAAAAAUUAGACAUCUCCCUCAUUCUCCACUAUAAGGACCCAGUCCAAUCCCCAUACAUUAAUUGCAAAAUGCCUAAAAGCCGAAUAAAGUUUUGUCCAUCAAAGGAAUCAUUUUGUGAAGUCAAUUGAUUUGUUUCUGCUAAUGCCAAAUAUUAAUUUGGUCUGUUGAUUACUAUGGGAUCAGGAUUUGGCCCUGUCAGUGAAAUCCUGGCUCCACUGAAGUCAAUGGGAGUUGACUUCAAAAGGGUCAGGAUUUCACCAUACAUGCAAUUGAUUAUUACAGGCAUGAUCAUGAAAUACUAGCUUCCCUGCAAAAUUUCAUGAUUUUGAAAUAUUUUUGUUUUACUAUCUGGAAAACAUGUCAUGGGAGACUGAGGUAUAUUUUGUUUGGUAACUAUACUUUUUCAGUCAUUAAGUGUGACUACUGUGACUAGUGUGGCUGGUCAGUUUAUCCACUAAAAAUUAUGGUAUUAAGCUUAUGUACCAGUAGUAGGCUCUGCACUUAAUGACUCUGUGUAUAAAUUGAGACCAAUUCAUUCUAUUGUAACCUGACAUUGUUACUUGCUGGUUGUCUUUGAAGAGUCAGAUUGUGAGGAGAUUUGAAUCCACAGAGUGAGAUAAUUCUACACUUCUGUUCUGCAAUAAAA
Long non-coding RNA from Mauremys mutica (yellowpond turtle), 2820 nucleotides. RefSeq lists it as uncharacterized. The record is from RefSeq and is a predicted model, not a curated record. Lineage: Eukaryota; Metazoa; Chordata; Testudines; Geoemydidae. The transcript has 3 exons.